UACGUAGGGUGCAAGCGUUAAUCGGAAUUACUGGGCGUAAAGCGUGCGCAGGCGGCUAUGCAAGACAGAUGUGAAAUCCCCGGGCUCAACCUGGGAACUGCAUUUGUGACUGCAUGGCUAGAGUACGGUAGAGGGGGAUGGAAUUCCGCGUGUAGCAGUGAAAUGUGUAGAUAUGCGGAGGAACACCGAUGGCGAAGGCAAUCCCCUGGACCUGUACUGACGCUCAUGCACGAAAGCGUGGGGAGCAAACAGG
This 253-nucleotide ribosomal RNA is filed under the name uncultured bacterium. Its description in RNAcentral is "partial 16S ribosomal RNA". It matches the Rfam family "Bacterial small subunit ribosomal RNA", at positions 524 to 776 of the family's 1533-position model. The record is from RNAcentral.